CCUACGGUGGGCAGCAGUGGGGAAUAUUGGACAAUGGGCGCAAGCCUGACCCAGCCACGCCGCGUGAAGGAAGAAGGCUUUCGGGUUGUAAACUUCUUUUAUCGGGGACGAAGCAAGUGACGGUACCUGAGGAAUAAGCCACGGCUAACUGCGUGCCAGCAGCCGCGGUAAUACGUAGGUGGCAAGCGUGAUCCGGAUUUACUGGAUGUAAAGGGCGUGUAGGCGGGACGGCAAGUCAGAUGUGAAAACCAUGGGCUCAACCUGUGGCCUGCAUUUGAAACUGUAGGUCUUGAGUACUGUAGAGGCAGAUGGAAUUCCGGGUGUAGCGGUGAAAUGCGUAGAGAUCUGGAGGAAUACCAGUGGCGAAGGCGGCCCGCUGGACAGAAACUGACGCUGAGGUGCGAAAGCGUGGGGAGCAAACAGGAUUAGAUACCCCAGUAGUC
RNAcentral lists this ribosomal RNA (443 nucleotides) under uncultured bacterium. RNAcentral's name for it is "partial 16S ribosomal RNA". It matches the Rfam family "Bacterial small subunit ribosomal RNA", at positions 338 to 795 of the family's 1533-position model. The record is from RNAcentral.